UCCCGGAUAGCUCAGUUCGUAGAGCAGCGCCCUGUUAAGGCGCGGGUCGCUGGUUCGAGUCCAGCUCCGGGAGC
Molecule: transfer RNA, 74 nt
Filed under: Microbacterium phage Fork
Lineage: Duplodnaviria; Heunggongvirae; Uroviricota; Caudoviricetes
Description: tRNA-Asn
Rfam family: tRNA
About the family: Transfer RNA (tRNA) molecules are approximately 80 nucleotides in length. Their secondary structure includes four short double-helical elements and three loops (D, anti-codon, and T loops).
Source: RNAcentral